RNAcentral lists this ribosomal RNA (253 nucleotides) under uncultured bacterium. RNAcentral describes it as "partial 16S ribosomal RNA". It matches the Rfam family "Bacterial small subunit ribosomal RNA", at positions 524 to 776 of the family's 1533-position model. The record is from RNAcentral.
UACGAAGGGUGCAAACGUUGCGCGGAAUCAUUGGGCGUAAAGCGCACGUAGGCGGCUUGCCAAGUCGGACGUGAAAUCCCUCAGCUCAACUGAGGACGUGCAUCCGAAACUGGCGAGCUUGAGUGCUGAAGAGGAUCGCGGAAUUCCCGGUGUAGAGGUGAAAUUCGUAGAUAUCGGGAGGAACACCAGUGGCGAAGGCGGCGAUCUGGGCAGACACUGACGCUGAGGUGCGAAAGCGUGGGGAGCAAACAGG